Molecule: ribosomal RNA, 254 nt
Filed under: uncultured bacterium
Lineage: Bacteria
Description: partial 16S ribosomal RNA
Rfam family: Bacterial small subunit ribosomal RNA
Source: RNAcentral
CACGUAGGGUGCGAGCGUUGUCCGGAAUUAUUGGGCGUAAAGAGCUCGUAGGCGGUGUGUCGCGUCGGCCGUGAAAACCUGCAGCUUAACUGUGGGCGUGCGGUCGAUACGGGCAUCACUGGAGUUCGGCAGGGGAGACUGGAAUUCCUGGUGUAGCGGUGAAAUGCGCAGAUAUCAGGAGGAACACCGGUGGCGAAGGCGGGUCUCUGGGCCGAUACUGACGCUGAGGAGCGAAAGCGUGGGGAGCAAACAGG